GUGAGGAAUAUUGCGCAAUGGGCGAAAGCCUGACGCAGCGACGCCGCGUGGAGGAUGAAGGCCUUCGGGUCGUAAACUCCUGUCGAGGGGGACGAAAUGGUGCUCUGUUAAUACCAGGGCGUCUUGACGGUACCCCUGGAGGAAGCCCCGGCUAACUCCGUGCCAGCAGCCGCGGUAAUACGGAGGGGGCCAGCGUUGCUCGGAAUCACUGGGCGUAAAGGGCUCGUAGGCGGUUUGAUAAGUCCUGUGUGAAAUCCCUUGGCUUAACCAAGGAACUGCGCCGGAUACUGUCGAACUAGAGGCCGGGAGAGGGAAGCGGAAUUCCGAGUGUAGCGGUGAAAUGCGUAGAUAUUCGGAGGAACACCGGUGGCGAAGGCGGCUUCCUGGACCGGUUCUGACGCUGAGGAGCGAAAGCUAGGGUAGCAAACAGGAUUAGAAACCCCAGUAGUCC
Molecule: ribosomal RNA, 451 nt
Filed under: uncultured bacterium
Lineage: Bacteria
Description: bacterial SSU rRNA
Rfam family: Bacterial small subunit ribosomal RNA
Source: RNAcentral